Molecule: transfer RNA, 92 nt
Filed under: Acrocarpospora pleiomorpha
Lineage: Bacteria; Bacillati; Actinomycetota; Actinomycetes; Streptosporangiales; Streptosporangiaceae
Description: tRNA-Arg
Source: RNAcentral
AGGCGGCCGCCGGGCGCGAGCCGGACGGCGCUGCGGUCGCCGUCCGAGAGCGCGGCGCAGACCCACAGGAGCUCCGAAUCCCUGGCCACCUC